GGGAUCUUAACCUUCAAAUCUCCAGGGUACUGUAAAAAAAAAAAAAAAAAAAGAAGAAAAAAACAAAACAAAACAAAACCUUAUGAUUAAGACUGACUGACACCUGUUUAUUUGACUAAAUCCAUCCCCAAGCCUGGGUUUCUUCCCCAGUGGUCCUAUGAUGAUCUUGGAUCAGAAAGAUCCCCUGGAGUAGGAAAUGGUAACCCACUCCAGUAUUCUCACCUGGAGAAUCCCAUGGAUUGAGGAGCCUGGCAGGCUACAGCCCAUGGAGUCGCAAAGAGUUGGACAUGACUGAGUAAACAUGGGUGCACCCACAGGUCCCCAAGCCCAUCACUUUCUCCUAAAAUGUAAACUAGUUGGGAAUAGGGGGAAGAGGGACAAGGAGGGGUAAGAAAAUAAGAUGUAUAAAACCACAGGUUCAUGUAAACAAAAAGAAAACUUGUUCCCUUCUCCCCACUCCAAAAAAAAUGCAGUCUCUUUCUAAUUACAAGUACAGGAUCAUCACCCGCCCAUUCCAAAAAAAAAUACUUAGCCUUGGUCAAACCUGGGAGCCAAACCAUAAUGAGUAAAAAGUUUGCAUCUACAGCAGAGUACUGGAUUACAUAAACCAUCAUCUUAUGUGAUCCACUCACAUACAAAUACAUUUUAUACCAUUUAUAUGGCACACAAUACAAAUUGUCACUCAGAUAUACAGACCUAGAAGAAAAAGGACAUGGCUAGGUCUUUGUUUUACUUCAAUGUUGUAAUAUUAUGAUGAUUUUAUUACUGCUAAAGGUUAUAAUUAUUUUUAAUCAUAAUAAAACAUACCAUCACUCUCAUUUUCUUAUCUUCUCUAGAGUACUGAAGGUAAUAGGGUAACACAGGAAACACAAUGAUUACCAAAAGCACUAAGCAAAGGACAAAAGGUAAACCUAAAAAAACAAUGGUUGGUCCACUAGUCACUUAAUCAAAUAUUUUACUGCCUUCUCUGCACAGACACUAUUCAAGACAAAAAAAAAAAAAAAAAAAGAAAAUUAAAUGUACCCAUUAUUGUACUAUCUCAUAUUGUUUUCAACCAUUAAUGUCAUUACUGUUUCAUUUUGGGGUAGCUGUCUCUAGAUGUUUAUCUCUACAUAUGCAACAUCAGUUUCUUUUUAAGCAAACUGGUUUCUUUCAUAGAAUGGAUUGAGUAGAAAUGACUAUGGAAUUUGGA
RNAcentral lists this long non-coding RNA (1192 nucleotides) under Bos grunniens (domestic yak). RNAcentral describes it as "lncRNA (ENSBGRG00000004346.1)". Lineage: Eukaryota; Metazoa; Chordata; Mammalia; Artiodactyla; Bovidae. The record is from RNAcentral.